UCCCUGGUGGCUCAGAUGGUAAAGCAUCUGCCUACAACGCGGGAGACCUGGGUUCGAUCCCUGGGUUGGGAA
This 72-nucleotide transfer RNA is filed under the name Ovis aries (sheep). It matches the Rfam family "tRNA". From Rfam's summary of the family: Transfer RNA (tRNA) molecules are approximately 80 nucleotides in length. Their secondary structure includes four short double-helical elements and three loops (D, anti-codon, and T loops). Lineage: Eukaryota; Metazoa; Chordata; Mammalia; Artiodactyla; Bovidae. The record is from Rfam by way of RNAcentral.